UACAGAGGUCUCGAGCGUUAGGCGGAAUCACUGGGCUUAAAGCGUGUGUAGGCGGAUGAGCACGUCUGUCGCUGAAAUCCCCCGGCUCAACCGGGGAACGGGCGCGGAUACGGCUCGUCUCGAGGGGCGUAGGGGGACCUGGAACUUCCGGUGGAGCGGUGAAAUGCGUUGAGAUCGGAAGGAACGCCCGUGGCGAAAGCGAGGUCCUGGACGCCUACUGACGCUGAGACGCGAAAGCGUGGGGAGCAAACAGG
Molecule: ribosomal RNA, 254 nt
Filed under: uncultured bacterium
Lineage: Bacteria
Description: partial 16S ribosomal RNA
Rfam family: Bacterial small subunit ribosomal RNA
Source: RNAcentral